RNAcentral lists this ribosomal RNA (427 nucleotides) under uncultured Methylococcaceae bacterium. RNAcentral describes it as "partial 16S ribosomal RNA". It matches the Rfam family "Bacterial small subunit ribosomal RNA", at positions 355 to 774 of the family's 1533-position model. The record is from RNAcentral. Lineage: Bacteria; Pseudomonadati; Pseudomonadota; Gammaproteobacteria; Methylococcales; Methylococcaceae.
UGGGGAAUAUUGGACAAUGGGCGCAAGCCUGAUCCAGCAAUGCCGCGUGUGUGAAGAAGGCCUGCGGGUUGUAAAGCACUUUAAGCAGGGAAGAAUGGACUAAGGUUAAUACCCUUGGUCAGUGACGUUACCUGCAGAAUAAGCACCGGCUAACUCCGUGCCAGCAGCCGCGGUAAUACGGAGGGUGCGAGCGUUAAUCGGAAUUACUGGGCGUAAAGCGCGCGUAGGCGGUUGGCUAAGUUUGCUGUGAAAGCCCCGGGCUUAACCUGGGAACUGCAGUGAAUACUGGUCAGCUAGAGUAUGGUAGAGGGUAGUGGAAUUUCCGGUGUAGCAGUGAAAUGCGUAGAGAUCGGAAGGAACACCAGUGGCGAAGGCGGCUAUCUGGACCAAUACUGACGCUGAGGUGCGAAAGCGUGGGGAGCAAACA